ACCUAUAGGGUACUUCCCGUUGACCUAGAAUCAUGACAUUUGGCAGCAGCAAUGUCUUUUAGCACAAGUAAAGG
Maniola jurtina (meadow brown) is the source of this 74-nucleotide long non-coding RNA. RefSeq lists it as uncharacterized. NCBI's taxonomy places the organism in Eukaryota, Metazoa, Arthropoda, Insecta, Lepidoptera, Nymphalidae. The transcript is spliced from 3 exons. The record is from RefSeq and is a predicted model, not a curated record.